AUCAUCUCGAAACAUCACAAGAAGAAGGAAAAGAAUUUUCAAUGUGGCAGUCUGGAGCUGAGAUAUGAAGGAGAGGUCUACUGGGGAUUCACGGUAUGAUGCAUUUAAAGAGACUGUACCUUAAAAGCCCAUUUUCUAGAUGAAGAAAAUGUGGCUCCAAGAAGAGCCAUGAUCCAGCACCCGAGAGACCGCAGUUUGAUUCACAGACCUGUCAUCAGCUGCACUUGGGAAACACACUGGCUACUUCCCUGCUGACCUAUUUUACCGCCACGCUGAGAACAAAGGCAAAAGGAGCAAUCCCAGGGCCCAUGGCCCGGACCACUGUGCCUGAGAAACAGCAAGUCUCCUCAGA
This is a non-coding RNA of Callorhinus ursinus (northern fur seal), 352 nucleotides long. NCBI's taxonomy places the organism in Eukaryota, Metazoa, Chordata, Mammalia, Carnivora, Otariidae. The record is from RefSeq and is a predicted model, not a curated record.